GAGAAGCUGCGAAGAUGGCGGAGUAAGGCGUGCCGCUGCAAACUGGCCUCUGGGCCGGGGGCGAGCAGCCCCCGGGAGGCCGAGUGCAUCUGUUGGACCGUGCGAGGAGAAGAAAAAAAAUAUCGGCCAGAGGAGAGGAACUAACCGAACAUUCUUCCUCCCUACCUUAUAGAGGGGAGUGGUCAUCUACACUAAAGCAAAGUGUUAGGCGCGUCCGUGCGAAGAGACCACCAAACAGGCUUUGUGUUCCUUAUCACAGGAAGAAAAUUUUCCUUGACCUUUAGCUUGAAAACAGGUACAUAGAAGUGGAACAAUAAGCCGUUAGCUUCAGCAGAAGACGAACAUGAAAAAUGACUGUGUCUCUAUGUUGUCUCCUAGAGUGGGUAGUCCUGCUUCUUUUACCCAGUUACUUUCCCGUUUUUGAAAUGUGGCUAUCACUUCUCUACACAUUACCUCCAUGAUUUGGAAUGGAAAAGGCCACUUUUCUUUUUGUUCUGCCUCUCAAAUUCAACACAGAGGAGCUCCUAGGAUUCCAGUUAUCCUGCUAACAUCUCCAGGAAGAAAGAAGCAACUCACAUGGGUCUUUUGCUGUUUGCUUAAUUAUAAAGACAUCAUUUUGCAAGCAGAAGGCUGAGUUUCAUUUGAAACAGGUGCUUAGGUGGUGGUAUUUGUGAAUACUUUUCAUUCCAAGCAAGAAGACUAAAGAAGUAGCAAGUAUGAAUGACUUCAGGGUUUAAAAAAAAUGUCUUCCAGUUUCAGCCACUACCAUGAUAAGCACAGUUGAGACUGCAGCAGUAAAUUCCAAAUAUGUGUUUCUAAUUUGACGUGAAAGAUACUAAAAAUUUAUAUUUG
RNAcentral lists this long non-coding RNA (852 nucleotides) under Homo sapiens (human). RNAcentral's name for it is "OIP5 antisense RNA 1". The record is from RNAcentral. Lineage: Eukaryota; Metazoa; Chordata; Mammalia; Primates; Hominidae.